This 497-nucleotide ribosomal RNA is filed under the name uncultured bacterium. RNAcentral's name for it is "partial 16S ribosomal RNA". It matches the Rfam family "Bacterial small subunit ribosomal RNA", at positions 28 to 507 of the family's 1533-position model. The record is from RNAcentral.
GAUGAACGCUGGCGGCGUGCCUAAUACAUGCAAGUCGAGCGAACAGGCGAGGUGCUUGUUCCUACGACGUUAGCAGCGGACGGGUGAGUAACACGUGGAUAAUCUACCUAUAAGAGUGGGACAACUUCGGGAAACGAGAGCUAAUACCGGAUAAUAUAUUGAAACGCAUGGUUCAAUAGUGAAAGAUGCAAUUGCUGCACCUUAUAAAUGGAUCCGGGUUGCAUUGGCUAGUUGGUAAGGUAAGGGCUAACCAAGGCAAUGAUGCAUAGCCGACCUGAGAGGGUGAUCGGCCACACUGGGACUGAGACACGGUCCAGACUCCUACGGGAGGCAGCAGUAGGGAAUCUUCCGCAAAGGGCGAAAGCCUGACGGAGCAACGCCGCGUGAGUGAAGAAGGUCUUCGGAUCGUAAAACUCUGUUAUUAGGGAAGAACAUAUGUGUGAGUAAAUAGGCACGCAAUGGCGGUACCUUAUCAGAAAGCCACGGCUAACUUCCGG